CCAGGACGAGGGUUGGACAAAGAACUUUCUUGUCAUGCCGUGUUUUUCAUUUGCAUGCAUUUGCAUUUUCGAAAAUAUGAAGUUUGCAGUACUAUAAGAUAUUGGUCUUCAACCAAAUGCUUUAACUGCAGUUCUAGCCACGAAGGCAUCUACAAAAUAUUCAUGUACACCAUAAUUAUGCAACAAUAAGAUCACAACUCCAUCACUCUCAUCAAUUUAGGCUAAGUUCUGUAAUUAGAUUAUUGAUUUUUUAAAUUUUUUGGUAGUAGGUUAUGUUCUUCAAGUACUUCUGAUUCAGAGCUGAUUUGGUGACAACCAAUUCAGUGUCUAGAAAAAACUCUAGCCUCUGCGGUAGCGGCCCCUGGCCGCUAGUUUGUGGAAUGAGAAUGUCCCAUUGAUUUUCAUAUCCACAUGAUUCUCCUAUAUUAUUUUAGUAGUAUUGGU
RNAcentral lists this long non-coding RNA (444 nucleotides) under Hordeum vulgare. RNAcentral describes it as "long non-coding RNA (HVUL_LNC009445)". Lineage: Eukaryota; Viridiplantae; Streptophyta; Magnoliopsida; Poales; Poaceae. The record is from RNAcentral.